Molecule: ribosomal RNA, 484 nt
Filed under: uncultured bacterium
Lineage: Bacteria
Description: partial 16S ribosomal RNA
Rfam family: Bacterial small subunit ribosomal RNA
Source: RNAcentral
ACUCAAAGGAAUUGACGGGGGAGCGCACAACCGGUGGAGCAUGUGGUUUAAUUCGAUACAAAGCGAAAAACCUUACCUAGAUUUGACAUGUACCUGCACGGCUUAGGAAACUAGGCCUUCUUCGAGAGUGGUACACAGGUGUUGCAUGGCUGUCGUCAGCUCGUGUCGUGAGGCGUCCACUUAAGUGUGGUAACGAGCGCAACCCUUAUCUCGUGUUACAAGUGUCACGAGAGACUGCCCUGCUUUUUGCAGGGAGGAAGGAGAGGAUGACGUCAAGUCAGCACGACCCUUACAUCUAGGGCUACACACAUCCUACAAUGGAGCCGACAACGGGAAGCAAUAUCGCAAGAUGGAGCUAAUCCUUAAACGGCCCCUCAGUUCAGAUUGUGGGCUGCAAUCCGCCCACAUGAAGUCGGAAUCGGUAGUAAUCGCAAAUCAGCAGGUUGCGGUGAAUACGUUCUCGCUCCUUGUACACACCGCCCGU